This 1314-nucleotide ribosomal RNA is filed under the name metagenome. RNAcentral's name for it is "SSU rRNA". It matches the Rfam family "Eukaryotic small subunit ribosomal RNA", at positions 490 to 1823 of the family's 1831-position model. The record is from RNAcentral.
ACUCUUAUGAGGCCCCGUAAUUGGAAUGAGAACAAUCUAAAUCCUUUAACGAGGAUCUAUUGGAGGGCAAGUCUGGUGCCAGCAGCCGCGGUAAUUCCAGCUCCAAUAGCGUAUAUUAAAGUUGUUGUGGUUAAAAAGCUCGUAGUUGGAUCUCAGUUCGAGUCAGGCGGUCCACUUGCCAGUGGCUACUGCCUGACUGAACACUUUACCGAGUUGUCCUAUGGUGUUCUUCACCGAGCGUCAUAGGCGAUCGGUACGUUUACUUUGAAAAAAUUAGAGUGCUCAAAGCAGGCGUAACGCCCGAAUAAUGUUGCAUGGAAUAAUGGAAUAGGACCUCGGUUCUAUUUUGUUGGUCUUCGGAAUCAGAGGUAAUGAUCAAUAGGGACAGACGGGGACAUUCGUAUUGCGGCGCUAGAGGUGAAAUUCUUGGACCGUCGCAAGACGAACUAAAGCGAAAGCAUUUGUCAAGAAUGUUUUCAUUAAUCAAGAACGAAAGUUAGAGGUUCGAAGGCGAUCAGAUACCGCCCUAGUUCUAACCAUAAACGAUGCCAACCAGUAAUUCGUCUGAGUUCCUUAAAUGACUCGACGAGGGACUUCCGGGAAACCAAAGUCUUUCGGUUCCAGGGGAAGUAUGGUUGCAAAGCUGAAACUUAAAGAAAUUGACGGAAGGGCACCACCAGGAGUGGAGCCUGCGGCUUAAUUUGACCCAACACGGGAAAACUCACCCGGCCCGGACACUGGAAGGAUUGACAGAUUGAGAGCUCUUUCUUGAUUCAGUGGGUGGUGGUGCAUGGCCGUUCUUAGUUGGUGGAGUGAUUUGUCUGGUUAAUUCCGAUAACGAACGAGACUCUAGCCUACUAAAUAGAUCGUCGGCUUACAAACGCCGGCGAGACUUCUUAGAGGGACAGGCGGUGAUUCAACCGCACGAAACAGAGCAAUAACAGGUCUGUGAUGCCCUUAGAUGUCCGGGGCCGCACGCGCGCUACACUGAAGUGAUCAGCGUGCUUUUUCAACCUACUCUGUCAAGAGUGGGGAACCCAAUGAACCUUCUUCGUGAUUGGGAUAGGGGAUUGUAAUUAUUCCCCUUGAACGAGGAAUUCCCAGUAAGCGCGAGUCAUAAGCUCGCGUUGAUUACGUCCCUGCCCUUUGUACACACCGCCCGUCGCUACUACCGAUUGAAUGUUUUAGUGAGGUCUUCGGACUGGCCGGCGCAGCACUCUCGUAGUGCAGCGCUGUGUUUGGAAAGAUGCCCAAACUUGAACAUUUAGAGGAAGUAAAAGUCGUAACAAGGUUUCCGUAGGUUACCUGCGGAAG